RNAcentral lists this ribosomal RNA (283 nucleotides) under uncultured bacterium. Its description in RNAcentral is "partial 16S ribosomal RNA". It matches the Rfam family "Bacterial small subunit ribosomal RNA", at positions 45 to 339 of the family's 1533-position model. The record is from RNAcentral.
UGCUUAACACGUGCAAGUCACGGGGGCCCGCAAGGGUAACCGGCGAACGGGUGCGUAACACGUGAGCAAGCUUCCGAUUAGUGGGGGAUAGCCGGCCUAACGGCCGGGUAAUACCGCAUACGUUCAUCGCUCGGCAUCGAGUGGUGAGGAAACCUCCGGGGCUAAUCGAGGCGCUCGCGGCCUAUCAGCUAGUUGGCGGGGUAACGGCCCACCAAGGCGACGACGGGUAGCUGGUCUGAGAGGAUGGCCAGCCACAUUGGGACUGCGACACGGCCCAGACUCC